RNAcentral lists this ribosomal RNA (275 nucleotides) under uncultured Ehrlichia sp. RNAcentral's name for it is "partial 16S ribosomal RNA". It matches the Rfam family "Bacterial small subunit ribosomal RNA", at positions 124 to 415 of the family's 1533-position model. Lineage: Bacteria; Pseudomonadati; Pseudomonadota; Alphaproteobacteria; Rickettsiales; Anaplasmataceae. The record is from RNAcentral.
AUCUACCUAGUAGUACGGAAUAGCCAUUAGAAAUGGUGGGUAAUACUGUAUAAUCCCCGAGGGGGAAAGAUUUAUCGCUAUUAGAUGAGCCUACGUUAGAUUAGCUAGUUGGUGAGGUAAUGGCUUACCAAGGCUAUGAUCUAUAGCUGGUCUGAGAGGACGAUCAGCCACACUGGAACUGAGAUACGGUCCAGACUCCUACGGGAGGCAGCAGUGGGGAAUAUUGGACAAUGGGCGAAAGCCUGAUCCAGCUAUGCCGCGUGAGUGAAGAAGGC